RNAcentral lists this ribosomal RNA (500 nucleotides) under uncultured bacterium. Its description in RNAcentral is "partial 16S ribosomal RNA". It matches the Rfam family "Bacterial small subunit ribosomal RNA", at positions 30 to 523 of the family's 1533-position model. The record is from RNAcentral.
AUUGAACGCUGGCGGCAUGCUUUACACAUGCAAGUCGAACGGUAACAGGGAGCUUGCUCCGCUGACGAGUGGCGAACGGGUGAGUAAUGCGUCGGAACGUGCCGAGUAGUGGGGGAUAACGCAGCGAAAGUUGUGCUAAUACCGCAUACGUACUGAGGUAGAAAGUGGGGGACCUUCGGGCCUCACGCUAUUCGAGCGGCCGACGUCUGAUUAGCUAGUAGGUGGGGUAAAGGCUCACCUAGGCGACGAUAAGUAGCGGGUCUGAGAGGAUGAUCCGCCACACUGGGACUGAGACACGGCCCAGACUCCUACGGGAGGCAGCAGUGGGGAAUUUUGGACAAUGGGCGAAAGCCUGAUCCAGCCAUGCCGCGUGUCUGAAGAAGGCCUUCGGGUUGUAAAGGACUUUUGUCGGGGAGGAAAUCCCCAGCGUUAAUACCGCUGGGGGAUGACAGUACCUGAAGAAUAAGCACCGGCUAACUACGUGCCAGCCGCCGCCGUAA